Non-coding RNA from Lupinus albus (white lupine), 105 nucleotides. The record is from the annotation of a GenBank genome assembly. Lineage: Eukaryota; Viridiplantae; Streptophyta; Magnoliopsida; Fabales; Fabaceae.
GGGAAAUGAUGAGUGGAUUGAUCUCGCUAUGUUGAUGCGAGUUGGGUGUCCACCCUAAGCCUGGUUACGACAAUGGGGCGUUCUCCAUUUUUCCAAUCUGAUCCC